AUUUUUACGUACUUCUGUCAACUUAUUAGAAAGCAUCUCCUCUUCUGCUAACAAAACGUCAUUUUUCCCCAACAAAACGUGAACGUCAUUUUUCCCCAACAAAACGUGAACGUCAUUUUUCCCCAACAAAACGUGAACGUCAUUUUUCCCCAACAAAACGUGAACGUCAUUUUUCCCCAACAAAACGUGAACGUCAUUUUUCCCCAACAAAACGUGAACGUCAUUUUUCCUCAACAAAAUAAUCCAUAUAUUCAUCACUCCUGAGUUCUUCCUC
This is a long non-coding RNA of Schistocerca gregaria, 274 nucleotides long. RefSeq lists it as uncharacterized. NCBI's taxonomy places the organism in Eukaryota, Metazoa, Arthropoda, Insecta, Orthoptera, Acrididae. The record is from RefSeq and is a predicted model, not a curated record. The transcript is spliced from 3 exons.